AAAGGUGCUCAAAUUAGACAU
This 21-nucleotide microRNA is filed under the name Homo sapiens (human). RNAcentral describes it as "hsa-miR-4735-3p". Lineage: Eukaryota; Metazoa; Chordata; Mammalia; Primates; Hominidae. The record is from miRBase by way of RNAcentral.